This 84-nucleotide transfer RNA is filed under the name Promethearchaeota archaeon. Its description in RNAcentral is "Candidatus Lokiarchaeota archaeon (marine sediment metagenome) tRNA-Ser". It matches the Rfam family "tRNA". Rfam says of the family: Transfer RNA (tRNA) molecules are approximately 80 nucleotides in length. Their secondary structure includes four short double-helical elements and three loops (D, anti-codon, and T loops). The record is from RNAcentral. RNAcentral also lists the same sequence under 1 other name. Lineage: Archaea; Promethearchaeati; Promethearchaeota.
GCGGAGGUAGUCAAGCGGUAAGACGCAGGACUGCUAAUCCUGUGCCCCAUGGGCUCGCGGGUUCAAAUCCCGCCCUUCGCGCCA